AGCGAACGCUGGCGGCAGGCUUAACACAUGCAAGUCGAACGCAUCCUUCGGGAUGAGUGGCAGACGGGUGAGUAACGCGUGGGAACGUGCCCUCCGGUUCGGGAUAACCCAGGGAAACUUGGGCUAAUACCGGAUACGUGCUUAUGGCAGAAAGGUUUACUGCCGGAGGAUCGGCCCGCGUCUGAUUAGCUAGUUGGUGGGGUAACGGCCUACCAAGGCUGCGAUCAGUAGCUGGUCUGAGAGGAUGAUCAGCCACACUGGGACCGAGACACGGCCCAGACUCCUACGGGAGGCAGCAGUGGGGAAUAUUGGACAAUGGGCGCAAGCCUGAUCCAGCCAGGCCGCGUGAGUGAUGAAGGCCUUAGGGUUGUAAAGCUCUUUUACCCGGGACGAUAAUGACGGUACCGGGAGAAUAAGCCCCGGCUAACUUCGUGCCAGCAGCCGCCUAA
Molecule: ribosomal RNA, 449 nt
Filed under: uncultured bacterium
Lineage: Bacteria
Description: partial 16S ribosomal RNA
Rfam family: Bacterial small subunit ribosomal RNA
Source: RNAcentral